CAUGCUUUAAAAUAUAAACAUAUAUAUAUUUGGUACGAAAUAUUUACCAGAUGGCGCAUUGUCAUUCUUAUCGCAGUUAUUGUUGAGGCCAGUUAGGAUCCGCAUGUGAUAACGAAGUUUUGUCGUCUCGUAAUUAUAGGUUAUUAAGAUUUUUUUUUCUAAGUUACAAAUUCGUCCAAUAUAGACAAUCGAUCGUCAUACAUGAGAUUUCUACGAUAUAAUGUUCGCAAGUUAUGAAAAUGUUGCGUUUUAGAGAUAUUCACGAAAAUAAUAUUGUUGUCUACAUAUCCACCGCCGUGCUAUUACUCUUUAUUUUUUCUCGAUUUUUCGUCCCUUAUUUUCGCGAUGUGUGUGCUUCUUAAAAUAAUUUAUUCUUAUGAUAUAAUACAUAAAAUUCUACGAAUCAACGAAGUUGGAAAUACAAAGCACAGUGAAGGUCAUGUGUUAUAUUUUGUUGUAUUUCUUAUGUAGCCGAGCUAAAUGUCCGGUAAAAAAAAAGAUUAAGUUUGUUUGAUAUAUGAAGAUUAUGGUGUCAUUGUUCGUGCAGCCAUAGAUGAAUCGAUCUUUGUUUCGAUAAAAUAAAGAAGGAAUUGUGAAGUAGAUUUGUUGUUAAUGUUUUUCGGUUAAUUUAAAUUUGUUUGCAUUUUAUGAUGUUAAAAACUUUUAGGAAUAUGUCUGUAUGAAUAAUUUUGGUGCAAAACAGUCAUAGAAUCAAUAUUUGUUCGUAUAGAAUUUUAUUUUUCUUUUUUUCUACAAUCAGAUAUACUGUAUAUAUAAAACAAGCAAUAGAUAUUAUAUAUAACUUAUAUAUAAAACAAACAAUAGAUAUUUGCGAAAUAAAUUCAUUGUUUGCCUCUUACUUAUUAAAUAAUUAUUGCAUAUUUGAGUCAGUGAAUCAUGGAAGAUGAUCAAGGAUGUAGUACACUUCCAUAGAAAAAUAUUGACUUACAUUGCCAUUAAGUCAAUGUAUUACAAAUUCAAUCUAAUUACUUUUUCAUCUACGUUGAUUUAUUUAAUUUUGGACCUAUUGCGGAACAGCUUACAUAAAUUUCGAGCUACAACUGGUCGAUGUUUUGGAGCUAUUGUGGAUUUUCUUAAGCAAGUCUUAACCCCCUUGGUCUACACGCUAGCUUCCGAUUGCGCGGGCCAUAGUAAACAAGAAGGUCGGUCGCGGGCCGAGCCAUUCAACUAUUCUGCCGUGUGCUCGAACUUGCGCAAAAUGUAUACUUCUUAUGACAUGUAUAUUUCAGCGCAACAAAAGGAAUUAUGAAAUAAUGAAUAACGUUUGGGCGCAACUAGUACUUUUAAGCAAUCUUGGGCGUAAUCCUGAUCAAUUCGUCAGUGAACAAAAAUAAUUUAUUAUUUCAAAGCGGAUAAUGAAUCAAUAACAAUUCUAGCAAUAACAAUAACAUGAUUCAAUAACAAUUUUUUGUUCUUUUGGACAAUAAUAUCCCAAAAAACAUUGUCAUACAUUUUAAAAAAGUCUAAGUCUCUAUUAUUUUUACCUAACUGGUCUAAAAUUGGUGUUCUUAUGCCAGGAGUUUGCAUAUACUCCCAGAUUUUUGGGUCGUUAUUUUUCUCUUCCCAAAACUAUGAUUCCGAUAAUUAUUGAUAAAUGCUAUUUUCUUCGUCGGAGACAUUUUCAAUGAUUAAUUUUCGUGAACGUUUUCUUACAGGAAGCACAAUAUCACUGUCCUCACUAUCAUUAUCAAAAUGAUCGAACCACAAUCCGUAAUAACACUUCUCUCCAAUAUCAUCAACAUUAGAUUUUUUUUGCUGACAUGAUGUGUAUAAGGAAUGUUUUAUUUCUUCUAGAGAAUAUAUUUGGAAACGUCUUAAUGCAAUGAAAGUUUAACCCUUUGCAUUCCGCUGUCCCUUCUCAUGGGACAUCGUAAUUCUAGCAUAUUACUCGGAUGUCCCCUCUCGUGGGACAUUAAAUUUGAUUAGUGACUACAGGUAAUUGAGUUAUUUCAGCGCAACUUUUUGAGACAUGCAUGCUUCUCUGAAGUUAUCUCUUGAAAUGGCACAAGAAAUCAAAUCAAAAUAUAGUAAAAUUGCUAAGAUAUAUACAAAAAAAUGUCUGCGAGUUUUGUGUCAUACGAGAACGCGAUAAGCGUGCUUACUACGGCCCGAGCACUUCAAAGGCGCCACUUGAAAAGAGCGAUAAUGCAAGUUUGUAGAAGAAAGAUCGGUAUUCAAACAUAGCACGCACUGUAUAGUGAGAUUUAUAAUCAUAAAUAAGCAAGUCUAAAUCUGGAGAAAAAGAUUUCUAAAGCUGAACUCAGUCUAGUUUGAAGUGUCGCCCGGUAUAGAUAGAUCUAACGAGUGAGAAAAUCGGAAAAGUGAUUCUUCUCUUGGUAAAUAAAUUGUUUGGUAAAAGUUUUUUUGAACAAUGGCAAAACGUUCAAACACGAAUGAGUCUCAUGACACAAGUAGUAGUGAAGAUGAGUUCCAGAUAGACGUUUAUACAGAUAUGUUAGAAAGACUAACUGUAGAAGAAAACGAUAGCAGUGAUAGUGAUAUCGUCCAAGCAACAAGGCGACGAAGAGACUGCAUAGAUAGCGAUAGCGAUGAAACUGAUACGGAAAUAAAUACACCGCAACAUGACGGAUUUUUUGGAGGUUGGAAAUGUGUGUCAUUAACUCAUACAUAAUUUAUCGUAUCUCAAAACAAACAAAUAAUGAAACUCCAAUGACGCACCACAAGUUUGUCAAAGCAGUCACUGACCAGUUGAGGGAUGAUUUUCGUGAAUCGAGAACGCGUCCAUCCACAUCUUCUGCGACAAAUAGAUUAGAGAAUAAACUACAUAUUCCUAACAUGGGACAAAGAAAACGGGAUUGAAUUGUUUGUUCUGAUAGGAAAACACCUGGUGGCAGGUGUCAAACAACUUAUUAUUGUCAAACGUGCACUAAUCAGCCUGCAAUGCAUUUUGGGGAAUGUUUUAAAGUUUAUCACACUGUACAAAAUCAUAACCAAAAAAAUAUUGAUUUUUUUGCAAAUAUACAUUUCUCGAUUUCAAUCAAUUCAUAUAAGUCCAAUAUCUUUAUAAUAUGUUAGUUAGUUCCAAAACCAUACUAAAUAAUACGAGGGUCUGUAAAUGCACGUUUUUGCCACAAAGUAGCGCUGAGUAGCUGGUAGCUUGAUAAUCAAGGGUCUCUGGGCACAAAGAAAGACAACUUAAGGAAUAAAUUUUUACUGGCGGAUUAUACAUUUUGGUAAGUCAAAAGAGACUUCAACAAACCAUCUUGAUGGCAACAGUGGACAGUUUCUGUGAUACCAGACAUUUUUAUAAAAAGGAAUAAAUUAUUACUUUCAACCCCGAGCUGCCAAAACGAGAGGAGUUUGCGAGGUCGGAGUAAAUGGUUUCAAUCUUUAGCCUGACCGCAUCAACAGCUCAAGUAAUUUAAGUUUUCUUUAUUCGUCCGACCAUCUGGGACGUAACAUAACUAUAUAGAGAUGAUAGUAAUAAAAUUUUUGGUGGCAGCGGUGGGAUUGAAAAGCCUCCUAGGAGAAUUUCUGUCCUAACUACCUUUUCGGCACGUUUUUAAUUUUAUUUACAUUUUAAUAUUAUAAUAAUGGCUAACAUACAGAAAUCCUCUUCCGCUGCUAAGGCUCCUCUCACUGAGGAAGAGCUUAGGCUAUACGAGGAAAAACUAGAUGAGCGCGAGACUCGAAUAGAAAUUUCUUUGGAAGAGAAUACCGCCUUAGAACAAAGAAUAAAACGAUUGGAAAGGAAAAUAAAAGAACACGAAAAUGAAUUAAUGAAUCAAGAAGCAGAAAUUCGAGAACGUAUAAGUGCGGUAGAAAAAUGCGAAAAGGAAAUAGGAAUCCAGAACGCGAAAAUCAGUGAUCGACAAAUGGAACAGAACAAACAAGAAUUAGAUUUAGAAAGAAAAGAGAUAAUGCUUCAACGCCGUGAAAAUGUACUUCGUAAUAAAGAAGUUGAUCAAUAGGAAUCGAUGAUGAACAUGUCAUUAGGAAAUAAUCGUGCGGGAAGUCGGUACUCGUCACGCAACAGUUUAAACCGAUGGAAAUUCAAUCGAUUAUAGAAGACGGAGCCCGUCGCUAAGGGUAAACAACAUGGAAAGAAGAAACUCAACUUCCAGUAACCAAGGAAACCCGACAAGCGGCCCGUCGAAAUCCGACAGGAGCGGGGUCACCACGAAAAAAGGCUCAGGGACGAACGAAUAUGCAGGUGACUCAAUCAAGCAGAUCGCAAUCGUAAAUUUCAAGCUAACGACAAAGGCACCUUUCGAUAUGAACAUCGAAAACCUCGGGAGCAACAUCAAAUUGAUGAUUGACACCGGCGCAGAAGUCAAUAUCAUUAACGAAGGUGCUAUCGAAUCGAACACAGACAUCGACAAUGAAGAUGUAAUAAAGGGCAUUACGAAUGACCAUAUUCAAACAGAGGAUUAAUUGGCCGUUUACCUCUUUGGGAAAUUAGUGCGAUUCUACGUGGUGGCGUUGACCUUCCCGAUCGAACAGGACGGUAUCUUGGGAAGCGAAUUUUUGAAAUCGGUCAGUGUUGACGUCAGGUACACACAGCAUGCGUGAAAGUCGCAAACGAGGAAGUGCCGUUCGUAAACAGACAGAUAGUGCACGUACCAGCAAGGACAAGUACUGUGUCAAGUUACUGAAUUACUCAAUCAUCGAACGCAAACUUUUAGCCAUAGUCUACGCAGUGCAUUACUUUAGGCCGUAUUUGUACGGAAGUGAGUUCACACUGGUGAUGGAUCAUCGUCCACUAGUGUGGCUCAAAUCACAUAAGGAUCCGACUUCGCAUCUGACCAAAUGGGGUUUAAAACUUGCGGAGUAUAAUUUUAACACCUGGCAUGCGGGUAUACUUCGCCGCCAACUUACACGUGCAGCGGGCGUUUUUUCGUGAAUCGCGCGGAAGUUUAGUUAUUCAGAAAAACCGCAGUAAAUCAAAAACCUUCGUUUUUAUGAACGAAACUUUUUUUAUUUUACACUUAAAUAUAUACUGUAUGAUUAUUUAACAAAAAAAAACGAUAUUUUUACGAAAUCACAAAAAUAAACAAUUUUUAAAAUUGUACAAUGUAUUCAAAAAUAUUUUUUCAUGACAAGUACAAAUAGAACUGAUAACACGUUAAUAGUUCUUUACGGUAUGGUACCAUUCGUAGCAUUUUCCUCUGUGAAGAGGAACACGGCAGAAGUUACAUAUGAAACACGUUUCAGUUCGCACUUUUUUGGCUGCGCACACGCGACAUCGUCUUUGUGGAUUUUUCUUCUUCCCGACACCAACAAUUUUCUCCAAUAUGUGUUUGCGCAUAUCCAUGGAUAAUCUUCCAGCAGGGUCGCGUUUUGAUAUCAUUUACUCUGGUUCUUCAGUGCUGAUUUCAGGUAGUUCAUCAGUAACCCAAUGUGCGAUGUCGUGCAAAAAUUUCU
Vespa velutina is the source of this 5406-nucleotide RNA transcript. RefSeq lists it as uncharacterized. The record is from RefSeq and is a predicted model, not a curated record. Lineage: Eukaryota; Metazoa; Arthropoda; Insecta; Hymenoptera; Vespidae. The transcript has 6 exons.